GAAAUGUCCAUUAGUGUUUUAUUACAGACUUUAUGGACAUUAAUCUUCAGUCCCCAAACCACUUGCAAAAUACAGAAAACUCCUAAGUUUUAGUUUAGGCAUGCAUCUGAUCAUCAUACGUCUAAAGUAUGACAGAGAAUGCUACAUUCGUCAAGCCAAAUUAACUAGUUUUCUUCUCUAAAGUUUAUUCCCCUCUGAUGCUGGAAGCUGAGCAAUGAAGAAGGCUGCAUGACAGACAGAUUUAUUCUGGUGCCAUCGAGGCAGCGGUAAAGGUGAAAAUCAGACAGAGCCAUCAAAAGAAGCAAACGCAUCUUACACACAUAUA
RNAcentral lists this long non-coding RNA (325 nucleotides) under Bos taurus (domestic cattle). RNAcentral's name for it is "long non-coding RNA NONBTAT005792". The record is from RNAcentral. Lineage: Eukaryota; Metazoa; Chordata; Mammalia; Artiodactyla; Bovidae.